AUUGAACGCUGGCGGCAGGCCUAACACAUGCCAGUCGAGCGGAUGAAGGGAGCUUGCUCCUGGAUUCAGCGGCGGACGGGUGAGUAAUGCCUAGGAAUCUGCCUGGUAGUGGGGGAUAACGUCCGGAAACGGGCGCUAAUACCGCAUACGUCCUGAGGGAGAAAGUGAGGGAUCUUCGGACCUCACGCUAUCAGAUGAGCCUAGGUCGGAUUAGCUAGUUGGUGGGGUAAAGGCCUACCAAGGCGACGAUCCGUAACUGGUCUGAGAGGAUGAUCAGUCACACUGGAACUGAGACACGGUCCAGACUCCUACGGGAGGCAGCAGUGGGGAAUAUUGGACAAUGGGCGAAAGCCUGAUCCAGCCAUGCCGCGUGUGUGAAGAAGGUCUUCGGAUUGUAAAGCACUUUAAGUUGGGAGGAAGGGCAGUAAGUUAAUACCUUGCUGUUUUGACGUUACCAACAGAAUAAGCACCGGCUAACUUCGUG
Molecule: ribosomal RNA, 484 nt
Filed under: uncultured bacterium
Lineage: Bacteria
Description: partial 16S ribosomal RNA
Rfam family: Bacterial small subunit ribosomal RNA
Source: RNAcentral